RNAcentral lists this ribosomal RNA (118 nucleotides) under Odontella aurita. RNAcentral's name for it is "partial 5.8S ribosomal RNA". Lineage: Eukaryota; Bacillariophyta; Thalassiosirophyceae; Eupodiscales; Odontellaceae. The record is from RNAcentral.
UCCGCACCGUGCAAGGUUGUUUUGUCGAGAGGGGAGCGCAUUUCAUAUCCGGCAAGUUCAAUGCCAUGCAGCAGAUGCAGCCGUUGUCCGUCAUUGUAUCUGCCCUGAACGACUACUG